Molecule: long non-coding RNA, 1084 nt
Organism: Struthio camelus australis
Lineage: Eukaryota; Metazoa; Chordata; Aves; Struthioniformes; Struthionidae
Source: Ensembl
CUGGAAUCUGGAAUUCGUCCAAAGCCAGUCCUUUCGCUGACUAUUGUUCUUCACACUAUGCAAGGAUAAAGUCCUCCUAGAAAGCACUUCUAGGGUUCAUCCGACUUUUUAGAUGCCUGCUUCAGGAUGAGAGCCAGCACCUCAGGAACUGCAACCCCCUUGGUGCGGGAGCGGGUCCCCAGCCUGAGGCUCCUGUCACUCUCCUGCUCCGAAGUGCAACCAGCUCCCUGGAAGAGGUGGAGCAGCAUUUCAGCAGCAGUGAGUACAAGCCUGCUCCCUGGGAAGUGCAGCAGGUGCAAGAGAAAUUAAUGACCCCGCAGGAACUUGUCCUGGUUUCUCCAGUUUUCUGAAGCCUCAAGGACUCUUUGGUUAUUACAAGGACUCUUCAAUGUCAUGUCAUUUUAGGAUGGAAAAAGUGGCAAAAGUCAUUGUGUUUGUAGCGUUGCUAGUGCACUGGCUGCAACAGCGCGGCUUUGAGGAAAGCGCACCUCCCGUUUGCUUGCUACAACUUUUCUUGCAAACUCAAGACUUCACUCAGAAAUGGGCCAGCUAAACCAUGCUUAACAUAUAAGAUCAUAGCACAGGCUUGUAUGGCCAGAGGUCAAAAAAGGGGCCUAAAAUAGUGUGUCUCACCCUAGUGCCUCACAAAGCAAGAGGAGUAACAGCUGAAUGCAUCUGGCCGAGAUUCGCUAUCCCACCCUGACUGCACGCAGAAUAGACAUAGCGAUAGUAUAGAUUUAGGUAAGGGAUAUUCCUCACAUACACCUUAGUUGUCAUUACCAGUUUGGGAUGAGCACAGGGCACUGGGAGGGAGUCAGACCCAGACCGUAACAUGGUGAAGUGCCUGCUUUACACAGGAGAGCGAUGGCACACCGACACGCUCACGUUUGCCGGUUGCCUUGCUCCACGGGGAGCGCUCGGUGAAAGCCGCCUGCCAUGCCCGGAUCGACAUAACCGGGACUGUCGCUCCCCUACGAGCUGAGCCAGCACGCAGGAAGCACGGCAGGACGGACACGGUCCCGGUAGGAAAUCGAAUGUCGCUGGCAGGCAGGAUCUAAUUUCAGCGUCAGGCAAACGAUGUGAC